Molecule: ribosomal RNA, 253 nt
Filed under: uncultured bacterium
Lineage: Bacteria
Description: partial 16S ribosomal RNA
Rfam family: Bacterial small subunit ribosomal RNA
Source: RNAcentral
UACGUAGGGGGCGAGCGUUGUCCGGAAUUACUGGGCGUAAAGCGUGCGUAGACGGUUAUGUAAGUUAGGUGUGAAAGCCCCGGGCUCAACCUGGGAAUUGCAUUUAAGACUGCAUAGCUAGGGUGCGGAAGAGGGAAGCGGAAUUUCCGGUGUAGCGGUGAAAUGCGUAGAUAUCGGAAGGAACAUCAGUGGCGAAAGCGGCUUCCUGGUCCAGCACCGACGUUCAGGCACGAAAGCGUGGGGAGCAAACAGG